UGAUGAGGUUUUUUCUGGCAUGAUUUUGAAAUUUAGGGAUAUUUUGGUAAGUGUACUUGCAGGGACUAAUUUAUGCAUUAAGUCUAGGGAUCUUAACAGUUACUCGUGUUGUGCACAUUUGCAAGUAAGCAUCCCGAAACUGCAAUCUUAAAAUAUAGCUGAAUUUUACUUAAGUAUGACAGAUAUUAAAAACAGAUUUUUAGAACUGUUAUGCAUGUGAACAUAGUUUUAGAAACAAUUUGCAGAAGGGUGCCUGCACAGUGUUUUGGGGUGAAGUACUCACUGAAUUGCAUAUGUAGGGAGUGUUUGUGUAGUUAGAAGUAUAGGAUGGAGCCAACACCUGAGCACUACCAAAAGGACAGCCUGAUUAUAUUUACUGUUCAAGAUUUGAUGUGAACAAAGGAUUUGUUGUUGUUGCUGUUCAAAAAAAAAAAAAAAAUUGCUAAAAUAAUUCUUUAUUUACAGAAGCUGCAGAAGCCAAACUUGACACUGUUAAUGAACGUUUCCCAACAGUUCAAGAAAAACAAUGAUGGUGAUGGUUCUAGAAUUGAAAGUCCCAAGUCACCAAAGAAAAGCCUCAAACAAAGAACCCCGUCAGAUGCAAACCUGAACAGAGGAGAAUGUGGAGAACUGUUGAGUCAAGAUGUCUCAGAUGCAAGCAACCUGGAGGAAGAAGAAUCAGAGGAGGAGGAGGAAGAUGAUGAAAAUGAAGGAGAUGAUGAUGAAGAUUAUGAGGAGGCAGAGGAAGAAGAGGAGGAGGACGAGGAUCUUACACAAGAUGAAAAGGAGGAGGAGGAUCUGGAAGAUGAAGAAACUCAGUCUAAUGACAUAUUGGAGGAGGAACAGGGGGAGAAAACAGAACCUAAAGGGGAAAUCAAUCAGAAAUUGGAGUAUUUUAGUAACACUAAGUAUGAAGGAGAAGCUUGGUGUGGAACUGGAGAUGUCUGUGAUGAUGAUGAUAAAAUAAGUAAAGAACUUGAUGAAAAGGUGGAGGAAUCUGUUGAUACUCCUGUGUCUUUUAUAGCUGGGUGUUAUGAAAGGUCGCAAGAAGAUGCAAUUGCCAUGUCUCCAAAGAUAAUGAAUAAUGAAGUAUCUUGCAAGUCAGUACCAAAACAAGCUGUCUUUCAAAAUCUAAAUAAUUUGCAAGAUACGCAAGAAAGCUGGAACAGGAAAAGCAUGAUACAGGAGAAGUUUCACAGAAAUGCUGACUCCUGUUUUGCAGACUCUGAAACGACAGACUGGAAAAAAGAGAUACCUCAGCCUCUCGCAGAUAGUUGUGGUCUUAAGGAGAAAAAGUCAAGCUUCAGUGAUGGCUUUGAAAGUGGUGAUAAUUCUUGGUCAGCAGCAAAAAACCCGAGGCUUGAAAGUCAAAGACCGAACCCUGUCAUUCUUGAACAUGUGGAUGAUGAAGAUACUGAAGAAGAGCAAUCUGAAGAGGUAGAUGAUAAAGUCUGUGAAGCACUGAAACAAGAAAGUGAAAACUUGUGCUUAAAUAGGCAUGAAGAAAAUUUAAAAGCAGCAUUUCACUCAAGCACCAAAGCAGAAUCACCUGAAUGGGAAGAAGAGGAGGAGGAGGAGCAGGAGAAGGAAGAUACUGGUGAAGAGCUCCAAACUGCAGUUGUUGAGGGCAUGAAAAAUUCUAUUUGUAAUGAUGGCCAUCAAGUCCACAGUGCUUCAAAAGACAACACUGGUGCCCUGCCAGCAGUGGGAGCAGAGGAAGAGGAAGAUGAUGAAUCUCCCUGGGACUCUGAGAUUAUACAGACGGAUUCUGGAAGUCCGAGAAAAGUAUCGUCUGGCGUGUUGCUCCAAGCUGCAGACAGACACGGAGCAUGCUUACAGAUUGUUUCAGGGGAACAUGA
Long non-coding RNA from Buteo japonicus, 1859 nucleotides. The record is from Ensembl. Lineage: Eukaryota; Metazoa; Chordata; Aves; Accipitriformes; Accipitridae.